GUGGAUAUUACGUCUGCGAGUCCAUCCGCCACACGACCUGUGAGCGGGGCGGGUACUCUGACGAACAAUAUGAAGUGCGUAAAUAACAAUAUUCACAAUUUUAUUUUAUUACCAUCAUUUGUGUUGAGUUUCAUUCAUUUAUAUAUAUAUAUGUAUUGACCCCUUCUUCAAAUUAGAUGUUUCGGAUGCGGAAUGAACUCCUUGCACCAGAUCGCAUGCGAGCAAUUCAAGAGGAAUGGGCGGCAUUUUUUCUUGACCACGUGAUCGUUGAAGACGGAGAAUACUAUGUGGACCAUGCGUCCGUAAUUUAGGAGAUUAUAUUUGUAAGAGAUAAUUAUUGUAUAUAUGUAGCCGGUAGUGUCGGAUAGAUAUACGAGAACUUGUUGUUCAACCAAUCUCUCGGAGAAGGAGAGGUGGUCGAUAUCACUUCUCUCUGUAUGCAUAUAUGUUCAUGACGAUCUUC
Molecule: long non-coding RNA, 463 nt
Filed under: Triticum aestivum (bread wheat)
Lineage: Eukaryota; Viridiplantae; Streptophyta; Magnoliopsida; Poales; Poaceae
Description: long non-coding RNA (TAES_LNC015582)
Source: RNAcentral